CCUACGGGUGGCAGCAGUGGGGGAUAUUGGGCAAUGGGCGCAACCCUGACCCAGCAACGCCGCGUGAGUGAAGAAGGCUUUCGGGUUGUAAACCUCUAUUAGCAGGGAAGAAACGAGUGACGGUACCUGAGGAAUAAGCCCCGGCUAACUACGUGCCAGCAGCCGCGGUAAUACGUAGGGGGCAAGCGUUAUCCGGAUUUACUGGGUGUAAAGGGAGUGUAGGCGGGAAAGCAAGUCUGGCGUGAAAGGCCUGGGCUCAACCCGUGGACUGCUUUGGGAACUGUAUAUCUUGAGUGCAGGAGAGGCAAGCGGAAUUCCUAGUGUAGCGGUGAAAUGCGUAGAUAUUAGGAGGAACACCAGUGGCGAAGGCGGUCUGCUGGACAGCAACUGACGUUGAGGCGCGAAAGCGUGGGGAGCAAACAGGAUUAGAUACCCGUGUAGUC
RNAcentral lists this ribosomal RNA (443 nucleotides) under uncultured bacterium. Its description in RNAcentral is "partial 16S ribosomal RNA". It matches the Rfam family "Bacterial small subunit ribosomal RNA", at positions 338 to 795 of the family's 1533-position model. The record is from RNAcentral.